Molecule: ribosomal RNA, 254 nt
Filed under: uncultured bacterium
Lineage: Bacteria
Description: partial 16S ribosomal RNA
Rfam family: Bacterial small subunit ribosomal RNA
Source: RNAcentral
UACGGGGGGAGCAAGCGUUGUUCGGAUUUACUGGGCGUAAAGGGCGCGUAGGCGGCCACCGCAAGUCAAUUGUGAAAUCUCCGGGCUUAACUCGGAAAGGUCAACUGAUACUGCGGGGCUAGAGUGCGGAAGGGGCAACUGGAAUUCUCGGUGUAGCGGUGAAAUGCGUAGAUAUCGAGAGGAACACCUGCGGCGAAGGCGGGUUGCUGGGCCGGCACUGACGCUGAUGCGCGAAAGCCAGGGGAGCGAACGGG